UCAGAAUCUGCAUUCAGUACAUCGAGAAGAAUUAUUAAUAAUUAUCGAAGUUCAACUGCUCCCGAAAAUGUAGAGUCAUUAAUCUGCACACAAAGCUGGAUUCGUGAUGCAAGCAACUUGUGUGAAAGUUCUCAUGAUGCAGAGCACCAUUAUGACGAGGAAUGUUAAUCGAGUGCAUGCUUAUUAUGGUGGACAUUUCAAGCUACAACCAUGAAUUCUCUACUGACGACUGACGUUAUCAUUUCUUUGCAUUUUUUUGUUGCUCUCAGAUAUGGGUGUGACAUCUUUGUAUAAUAUCUUGUGCAGAGUCUUGAAGUUCAUGUCAAACUUAAACUAUGUUGAACAUUAUUGCAGUUUACAGGAUCUAUACAUCGAUGUUUGAUAGGGUGUAUU
Molecule: long non-coding RNA, 393 nt
Organism: Nymphaea colorata (pocket water lily)
Lineage: Eukaryota; Viridiplantae; Streptophyta; Magnoliopsida; Nymphaeales; Nymphaeaceae
Exons: 3
Source: RefSeq, a predicted model, not a curated record